This 497-nucleotide ribosomal RNA is filed under the name uncultured bacterium. RNAcentral's name for it is "partial 16S ribosomal RNA". It matches the Rfam family "Bacterial small subunit ribosomal RNA", at positions 28 to 507 of the family's 1533-position model. The record is from RNAcentral.
GACGAACGCUGGCGGCGUGCCUAACACAUGCAAGUCGAGCGAACAGACGAGGAGCUUGCUCCUCUGACGUUAGCGGCGGACGGGUGAGUAACACGUGGAUAACCUACCUAUAAGACUGGGAUAACUUCGGGAAACCGGAGCUAAUACCGUAUAAUAUAUUGAACCGCAUGGUUCAAUAGUGAAAGACGGUUUUGCUGUCACUUAUAGCUGGAUCCGCGCUGCAUUAGCUGGUUGGUAAGGUAACGGCUUACCAAGGCAACGAUGCGUAGCCGACCUGAGAGGGUGAUCGGCCACACUGGGAGUGAGACACGGUCCAGACUCCUACGGGAGGCAGCAGUAGGGAAUCUUGCGCAAUGGGCGAAAGCCUGACGGAGCAGCGCCGCGUGAGUGAUGAAGGUCUUCGGGUCGUAAAACUCUGUUAUUGGGGAAGAACAAGUGUGUAAGUGACUAUGCACGUCUUGACGGUACCUAAUCAGAAAGCCACGGCUAACUACGUG